GACGAGCGCUGGCGGCGUGCUUAACACAUGCAAGUCGAACGGAAAGGCCCUGCUUGCCGGGUACUCGAGUGGCGAACGGGUGAGUAACACGUGGGUGAUCUGCCCUGCACUUCGGGAUAAGCCUGGGAAACUGGGUCUAAUACCGGAUAGGAGCCAUUUUUAGUGUGAUGGUUGGAAAGUUUUUUCGGUGUAGGAUGAGCUCGCGGCCUAUCAGCUUGUUGGUGGGGUAAUGGCCUACCAAGGCGGCGACGGGUAGCCGGCCUGAGAGGGUGGACGGCCACAUUGGGACUGAGAUACGGCCCAGACUCCUACGGGAGGCAGCAGUGGGGAAUAUUGCACAAUGGGCGCAAGCCUGAUGCAGCGACGCCGCGUGGGGGAUGACGGCCUUCGGGUUGUAAACUCCUUUCGCUAGGGACGAAGCUUUUUGUGACGGUACCUAGAUAAGAAGCACCGGCUAACUACGUG
This 465-nucleotide ribosomal RNA is filed under the name uncultured bacterium. Its description in RNAcentral is "partial 16S ribosomal RNA". It matches the Rfam family "Bacterial small subunit ribosomal RNA", at positions 28 to 507 of the family's 1533-position model. The record is from RNAcentral.